GACGAACGCUGGCGGCGUGCCUAAUACAUGCAAGUCGAACGAGAGCGACCGGUGCUUGCACUGGUCAAUCUAGUGGCGAACGGGUGAGUAACACGUGGGUAACCUGCUCAUCAGAGGGGGAUAACAUCCGGAAACGGAUGCUAAAACCGCAUAGGUCUUCGAGCCGCAUGGCUUGAAGGGGAAAAGAGGCGCAAGCUUCUGCUGAUGGAUGGACCCGCGGUGCAUUAGCUAGUUGGUGAGGUAACGGCUCACCAAGGCCGUGAUGCAUAGCCGACCUGAGGGGGUGAUCGGCGACGUUGGGACUGAGACACGGCCCAAACUCCUACGGGAGGCAGCAGUAGGGAAUCUUCCGCAAUGGACGCAAGUCUGACGGAGCAACGCCGCGUGAGUGAAGAAGGUUUUCGGAUCGUAAAACUCUGUUGUUAGAGAAGAACAAGUGCUAGAGUAACUGUUAGCGCCUUGACGGUAUCUAACCAGAAAGCCACGGCUAACUACGUG
This 498-nucleotide ribosomal RNA is filed under the name uncultured bacterium. RNAcentral's name for it is "partial 16S ribosomal RNA". It matches the Rfam family "Bacterial small subunit ribosomal RNA", at positions 28 to 507 of the family's 1533-position model. The record is from RNAcentral.